UACGGAGGGGGCUAGCGUUGUCCGAAGUUACUGGGCGUAAAGCGCGCGUAGGCGGGUUGGUAAGUCCGCUGUGAAAGCUCGGAGCUUAACUCCGGAGGGUCGGUGGAUACUGCCAGUCUUGAAGGUGCUAGGGGGAGAUGGAAUUACCGGUGUAGCGGUGAAAUGCGUAGAUAUCGGUAGGAACACCAGUGGCGAAGGCGGUCUCCUGGGGCAUUCUUGACGCUGAGGCGCGAAAGCUGGGGGAGCAAACGGG
RNAcentral lists this ribosomal RNA (253 nucleotides) under uncultured bacterium. RNAcentral's name for it is "partial 16S ribosomal RNA". It matches the Rfam family "Bacterial small subunit ribosomal RNA", at positions 524 to 776 of the family's 1533-position model. The record is from RNAcentral.